RNAcentral lists this long non-coding RNA (549 nucleotides) under Salvia miltiorrhiza (redroot sage). RNAcentral's name for it is "long non-coding RNA (SMIL_LNC007541)". Lineage: Eukaryota; Viridiplantae; Streptophyta; Magnoliopsida; Lamiales; Lamiaceae. The record is from RNAcentral.
AAAAAAAUUAGAUCUUAUGCAGAUGAGGGAGAAGGCCGAGAUCUGAAGGGCGACGCCGUCGUUUGAAACCCGGACGGCGGCGGCUGGAUACGGGCUGUGCAGAGGGAGGCGGCAGCGAAUUUAUUGUUGUUGAGGGAGGCGCUAACGAGGCAAUGCCACCACAUCUUCGUACGGUGGUGGAGGAGCCCGCCUCUAAGGUUAUAUCAUAUGAAACCGGACGGCGGCGGCUGCGGGCUGUGCAGAGGAAAACGGCGGCGCAUUUAUCGUCGUCGAGAAGGGAGGUGACGACGCGUGGAGCGGUUGCAGCUGCGUGGCUUGUGGAGAAGACUUGAAUUGUAGAAGAUGUAUGGAUGGUUGGAUCUGCAAAGUGAGAACGGCGGAUCUAAUGAGAGAGAAUUUUGAGAGAAUUUUGGGAGAAGUGGAGAACACUCUAGAAUUCAAAGGUAGCGGCUGAAAAAGUGAAUGUCUCUCUGUAUUUAUAUUAUGUUGUGUUUAUUGAAUUAAUAAAUAUUGUGGUUGGGGCUCUCAAAAAUUUGUAGUAGCAUUCAG